CCUACGGGAGGCAGCAGUGGGGAAUAUUGGUCAAUGGGCGAGAGCCUGAACCAGCCAAGUCGCGUGAGGGAGUACUGCCCUAUGGGUUGUAAACCUCUUUUGUCGGGGAGCAAAAGCCGGACGUGUCCGGCUGUGAGAGUACCCGAAGAAAAAGCAUCGGCUAACUCCGUGCCAGCAGCCGCGGUAAUACGGAGGAUGCGAGCGUUAUCCGGAUUUAUUGGGUUUAAAGGGUGCGCAGGCGGAUUUUUAAGUCAGCGGUAAAAUCGUGGGGCUCAACCCCAUCCAGCCGUUGAAACUGGGGAUCUAGAGUGUGCGAGAGGUAUGCGGAAUGCGUGGUGUAGCGGUGAAAUGCAUAGAUAUCACGCAGAACCCCGAUUGCGAAGGCAGCAUACCGGUGCACAACUGACGCUCAGGCACGAAAGCGUGGGUAUCGAACAGGAUUAGAUACCCCGGUAGUC
Molecule: ribosomal RNA, 458 nt
Filed under: uncultured bacterium
Lineage: Bacteria
Description: partial 16S ribosomal RNA
Rfam family: Bacterial small subunit ribosomal RNA
Source: RNAcentral